AUUGAACGCUGGCGGCAUGCCUUACACAUGCAAGUCGAACGGCAGCAUGAUCUAGCUUGCUAGAUCGAUGGCGAGUGGCGAACGGGUGAGUAAUACAUCGGAACGUGCCCUGUAGUGGGGGAUAACUAGUCGAAAGAUUAGCUAAUACCGCAUACGACCUGAGGGUGAAAGUGGGGGACCGCAAGGCCUCAUGCUAUAGGAGCGGCCGAUGUCUGAUUAGCUAGUUGGUGAGGUAAAGGCUCACCAAGGCGACGAUCAGUAGCUGGUCUGAGAGGACGAUCAGCCACACUGGGACUGAGACACGGCCCAGACUCCUACGGGAGGCAGCGGUGGGGAAUAUUGGACAAUGGGCGCAAGCCUGAUCCAGCCAUACCGCGUGGGUGAAGAAGGCCUUCGGGUUGUAAAGCCCUUUUGUUGGGAAAGAAAAGCAGCAGGUUAAUACCCCGCUGUUCUGACGGUACCCAAAGAAUAAGCACCGGCUAACUUCGUG
RNAcentral lists this ribosomal RNA (490 nucleotides) under uncultured bacterium. RNAcentral describes it as "partial 16S ribosomal RNA". It matches the Rfam family "Bacterial small subunit ribosomal RNA", at positions 30 to 507 of the family's 1533-position model. The record is from RNAcentral.